Molecule: long non-coding RNA, 243 nt
Filed under: Gossypium barbadense (sea-island cotton)
Lineage: Eukaryota; Viridiplantae; Streptophyta; Magnoliopsida; Malvales; Malvaceae
Description: long non-coding RNA (GBAR_LNC003248)
Source: RNAcentral
AAUAUUUGUCUUUUUGAAAACUCGUGUCCUACUACUAGCAGAUAUAUAUCAAAGUAAUUAAUACCCCAAAUUAAAGUAAAAAUUUUAAGAUGCCUUAUUACAUAGCAAAUACCCAAAUUAAAUAGCUUAAAGGAUACAAGUCUAAAAAAAUAACAAAAUUAGUUAUGUGGCCUUCAUCGAGUCCCUCGCAGACUUGCACAGGAAAACAGAAGGGUGAAUUUAUGAAAACUCAGUGUGUAAUCC